This 103-nucleotide transfer RNA is filed under the name Akanthomyces lecanii RCEF 1005. RNAcentral's name for it is "Cordyceps confragosa RCEF 1005 tRNA". It matches the Rfam family "tRNA". Rfam says of the family: Transfer RNA (tRNA) molecules are approximately 80 nucleotides in length. Lineage: Eukaryota; Fungi; Ascomycota; Sordariomycetes; Hypocreales; Cordycipitaceae. The record is from Rfam by way of RNAcentral.
GCUCGGAUAACUCAGUGGUAGAGUGCGGGAUUGCAGUGAUAUGAAUCCAGAAUUCAUCAGACAACUUAUCCUGAAGUCGGCGGUUCGAUCCCGUCUCCGAGCU